CUCAAGAGUUGUUACUGCCAACGUAGUCAAUAUUUCUUCCUUUAUGUGCUUAUGUGCUGAGAUUCCUCACUUUCCAACUGAGCCACUGAGAUACAAAGUGGAGUGAAAUUGAUUGCUGCCUGACCGAUUUCCCACCCACUGAAGUACUUUUGGGCACUGUGGGAAAGCCAUUCCAACAAGGUUCCAACUCGUAUCAAUGCAAGGAAAAACAGUUAAACCAUUUCAGCUCUAAUGCAGAUUGAAUGGAAAUCACCUAUCCAGAAGCAUCAUGGCUUAGUAUGGGAACUGCUCAACUGGUUAGUAUGGAGACUGCAAGAAAAUGUAGAGAGUUGUGGACACAGCACAGCGCAUCGUGGAAACCAACUUCUCCACGGACUCUAUCUACACUCCUCACUGCCAUGAUCAAGCAGCCAAUGUAAUCGAAGACCCCAUCCUUCUUUCUUCUCUACAAUUCCAUUGAACAGAAGAUACAAAAGCCUAAAGAAAAGUUACCAUAAUGCACAAAGACAACCUCUAUCCCAUAAGAUCAUAGGGCCAAAAGAUAUAGGAACCGAAUUUGGUCAUUUAGCCCAUUGAGUCUGCUCCAAUUUUUCAUUAUGGCUGAUCCAGUUUCCGCUCAGCCCCAGUCUCCUUCCUUCUCCCUGUAACACUUCAUGCCCUGACUAAUCAAGAAUCUAUCAGCCUCCACUAAAAUAUACCCAAUAACUUGGACUUUACAGCUGUCUGUGGCAAAGAAUUCCAUAUCCCGCUGUAAUAAGGUUAUUGAAUGGUCCCCUAAUAUGAUAAGAUGGACUCUUAACCUCACAGUCUUAGCCUUGCACUUUAUCGUCUACCUACACUGCACUUUCUCUGUAACUGUAAACACUUUAUUCUGCACUCUGUUACAGUGCUGCCAUUGUACUCUCUCAACAAGCCUGUGUGAUGCAAUUAAAGCCAUUUGCCCAGUUAACCUACUAACCUGUAAGUCAUUGGAUUCUGGGAGGAUACUGGAGCACCAGGGGGAAACCUGCGCAGUCACUGGGAGAACGUACAGACUCCUUACAAGCAAUCAAGGGAAACUGAACCCACAUCACUGGCACCGUAAUAGUGUUACACUAACCACUAUGUUACUGUGCCACCCACUUGAUCUGCAGGGAUGCCAUGCAAAACAAAGGUUUUAAUAUACCAGUACAACUGACAAUAGUAAACCAAUUUACCAAUAUUUAAGGUUUGUUGUUGUAAUUUCUGCUCUUUACUAAUAGUCUGUGUGAACUGACUGCAAACAAACUGUUUGCAAGGUGUCAAAACUUACUCAAUUCCAAUCUGUCAUCUGAAACAGUGGUGUUGAUAAACACUGUUAUAAUCAGCUUUUCCCCAGGU
This is a long non-coding RNA of Hypanus sabinus (Atlantic stingray), 1359 nucleotides long. RefSeq lists it as uncharacterized. The transcript has 3 exons. The record is from RefSeq and is a predicted model, not a curated record. NCBI's taxonomy places the organism in Eukaryota, Metazoa, Chordata, Chondrichthyes, Myliobatiformes, Dasyatidae.